GACAGAGGGGGCAAGCGUUGCUCGGAAUUACUGGGCGUAAAGGGCGCGUAGGCGGCCUGCUAAGUCGAACGUGAAAUCCCUGGGCUCAACCCAGGAACUGCGUCCGAUACUGGUUGGCUUGAAUCCGGGAGAGGGAUGCGGAAUUCCAGGUGUAGCGGUGAAAUGCGUAGAUAUCUGGAGGAACACCGGUGGCGAAGGCGACAUCCUGGACCGGUAUUGACGCUGAGGCGCGAAAGCCAGGGGAGCAAACGGG
RNAcentral lists this ribosomal RNA (253 nucleotides) under uncultured bacterium. RNAcentral describes it as "partial 16S ribosomal RNA". It matches the Rfam family "Bacterial small subunit ribosomal RNA", at positions 524 to 776 of the family's 1533-position model. The record is from RNAcentral.